GGGAGAUCAGUCUUAAAUCCAUCUCCCUGGCCACUAAAAUUAGGGGUUUAUGUAGCAGGGAAGAUGUGUAAUAAUGUGUAAGAAAGCAGGAACUAGGGAGGGGCAAGGAAGCAAUCAUGAUGAAUGAGGGCCUGGCAUCUCAUUGUCUGGAUAUGAUUAGCUGAUAAUUGGAGAGAAGAAAGAAAAUGCAGCCAAACAUGACUGAAAUGCUUAGAAACUGUUAGAGCACCCUGGGAUGUGUGGGCCUGGGACUGUUUGCCUUUGGCACGGCUAUGCUCAGAGCUUUGGAGGAGCCAAGGAAGAAAGGCCUAGUUCCUGAUCUUAAGGCCUUUGCAGUGUGCAUUGGGAGACAUAGACUGCAAUGAAAAGAUCAUUAUCGC
Molecule: long non-coding RNA, 380 nt
Filed under: Pan troglodytes (chimpanzee)
Lineage: Eukaryota; Metazoa; Chordata; Mammalia; Primates; Hominidae
Description: long non-coding RNA NONPTRT012819
Source: RNAcentral